Molecule: microRNA precursor, 195 nt
Filed under: Podarcis lilfordi (Lilford's wall lizard)
Lineage: Eukaryota; Metazoa; Chordata; Lepidosauria; Squamata; Lacertidae
Source: RNAcentral
UCGCUUUGAAACAGCAAAGCGGGAGAAGAGCCGCUGAGUGGGGAGGAGAGAGGGACAGAGAGCCUGCUUCUUUAAAGGAGCAAAGCGGGAGAGGAGAGGAGCAGCUUACACUCAUGUCCGGUUGGUUCCUUUAAAGCAAGCAGGCUCUCUGUCCCUCUCUCGUCCCCACUCAGUUCGCUACAUAGCAGCAAAGUU